AAAACCUCGUCCCCUUUGGCUAGCCAGUUUUGAUCAUGCAGAAAACUUUGAAUUAGACAAUAAAAUACACGACUAGCUAGCCACGGCAAAUGAGACCUACUUCGCCAUAAAUAAGCAAUCUACCACUUCUGUCUACUGUAAACAGGUCCUGCCCUCCAGCCUUCUCUGAAGCGAUCUCUGCCCCUGUAGCAGCCUUCACACCACACACAGAAACGCACGUACAGACACACAUAUACACACGUGGGCCUCUGGACGAGGAUGACUAUGGAAGAGAUGAAGAAUGAAGCGGAGAUGACCUCGAUGGUUUCCAUGACACUCUACACUGUGAUGUACCCCGUCUUCCACGAGUUGGAGAGAGUGAACCUGUCGGCAGCACAGACCCUGAGGACAGCGUUUCUAAUGGUAAGGACCCAUACACCAAAUCACUCUUCAUGGGAAAGGACAGUGUUUAUAAUGGUAAGGACCCAUACACCAAAUCACUCUUCAUGGGAAAGGACAGCGUUUAUAAUGGUAAGGACCCAUACAC
Oncorhynchus masou masou (cherry salmon) is the source of this 526-nucleotide long non-coding RNA. RefSeq lists it as uncharacterized. The transcript is spliced from 3 exons. Lineage: Eukaryota; Metazoa; Chordata; Actinopteri; Salmoniformes; Salmonidae. The record is from RefSeq and is a predicted model, not a curated record.